This is a long non-coding RNA of Columba livia (rock pigeon), 13065 nucleotides long. RefSeq lists it as uncharacterized. The record is from RefSeq and is a predicted model, not a curated record. Lineage: Eukaryota; Metazoa; Chordata; Aves; Columbiformes; Columbidae. The transcript has 3 exons.
AUUUUUGCCAAAACCAACAUAGUUGUCUUUUUCUGAAAUCAUGUGGUUUAAAGUUCUAGUGACUUCUGCUACUUUCUGUAAUUUCCCCCCAAUGUUAGGUACAGGUAAGUACAUGUACUGGUGUAAGUGGGUUGUCUUACAGCAGAAGGAAAUAGUUCAGAGGAUUCUUUGGAAAUAAGGCCUUUGACACUGGAUGUUGUAGUGCUUAGUAAUGACUCUCACUGCCUAACCUUGAUAAAGUUAUCUGCAUGUUGGGGCAACUGCUUAAUAGCUGAUAGAACAGGUGAUGUCUGGAGUGAUUAAUGGUGCUGGAAUGAAAUGAUAUCGUAAAGGUCUACUCAUGACGUGCCAUGCUGGCCCCAUCAGCAGCCCUGGCACUGCAGCCCUUUCUCCCUCCCACUCUGAAAUGAGUUGCCUGGUUACAAGAACUGGUGUGAUGACUAGGCGUAUUCCUUAUCUUGUCAACCUGGUUUCACUACAAGGCUUGAAAGUAUCAUCAUUUGUGUAUGUGGACUAUGAAACACUGCCUGUUUCAUCAAUAUGCGAUGUUUUAGUGAGUCCGGCAGUGACCACUUAAACCCAAUUGAGUGUGUUAUCUCUAAAAUGUGUUUCCGUGAGAAUCUUGGUUAUUUCAUUGUGGAUAAAAAACCAACCACAGAGAUGAAUGUAAAUACUGAGGCCCUGACUGCUGGGAGGUGUUCUGGUUGACAGGCCAGCCAAACAGACCUGAACCCCGCCAGCCAGCACCUGGACGAUGGUUGCAGCAGAUGGUUAGAGAAAGGAUGAGGCACAGAGCAAAUGUGCUCACCUUCCCCUUGGCACACCCUCUUGCCUUCUGUCAGUUGCUGGUUUACAGACUCUGGUGGCAGCAAUGGUAUCUGUGGCACCGUAUCUAACAGCCGCAGAUGGAUCUGCUCUGCAUAAACCUUUUAAUGCAUUUUUGAGCUCGCUCUAAUUCCUAACAUCACAGGAACGUAAAGAGGCUAUCGGCACUUGUUUGAUAUUCUCUAGUUUUGCUGUGAGUAAAACAUGAUCGAAUAUAAAUUUGCUUCAUUUUGUUGUUGUUUUUCUUUUUUAUAAAUCUGUAAAGAAAUAGGCAUUACCUAUCUCUAAGCGGAUGUAUAUGUGGUCAUGCCACUAAAACACUCUGGCUCUUUAACAAUUAAAAAAAUAAUUUCUGUCAAGAUGUCGUAACAAGUUCAGACGUCACGUGUUCUUCCCCAAAGAGAAAAGACUUUUCUGCUAAAAACAAAAAAGCUUGCAGAAAAGGGAGAAGGAGGAACUUAGAAGCUGGGUACAGCUUAGAAGCUGUCUUCUAAAUUCAUCUAGUGCAUGCAGUCUGUGAUUUACAACCAACAGUGGGGUUUGUGGAACCUAAAAACCUCUUGUAAUUGAAGAGAGGCGAGUAUCCAGAUCCACAUGUGCUGCUUGACCAGGUUAAGUGGUAACAUAGCAGAAGAACACUCCAAAAACAAAGUACAAUAUUCAUACUGCCAUAGUAGCAGAAGUCCUGCCUCUGUAGCAUUUAUGCCAAAUGAACAAUUCGUUUUCGAGUAAAAUCUGCACCUGUCUUUUGUCUGAUAUUGGGAGCAUUGGAAUUUUUCUCAUCUUUCUGUUGGUUUUCAGUUAACAUUGCCCUUCUGUAUUUUCAAGGACAGCUUUAAGAGUUGGUUCAACUCAGUAUUCUUUCACACUGUUGUCUAAAAUAGAGUUUCUUUGCCAGUCAGUCUUUAAGCACAGACUUGCAUGCGUUUGGACCAGCCUCAUGGUUUUAGAGUUGCUGCGCUGUCUGGCACAGGUACAUACAGAUAAUGUGUCGACUCAUGGCGUUUCCAUCACAUGUGGCUUUAACAUUAGUGUCCUGUGUGAUAUAGUCUGGGUAAACCACGUUAUUGGAGGCUCUUUACAAGGCCCCCUGGUAUGACAGAGCUGUGUACGAAGUUCAGCAUUUAGAUACGCUUGCUAGUUGGAGGGGUGGGAAGAGGAGGAUAGAGGGAGCUUGUUCUAAGGUCGCCUGUGGUGCUGCUCUUGUUUUGCCGACAAAGAGGGAGCUUAAUUCACUGGAGCUGUCAAUCUGGUAGUUCUCAAGCACUGAAAGAAAACUCCUGUAAACGUGUAUGUGAGGGAGGAAAGGGAAAAAGAAACUAAGCAGCUCUACUGUUUUAAUGAAAGGCUGACGGCAAAAAAACCAAAAGUAUUCGUAGUUGUGGACCUGCACCCUGUAUCUAGCAGAAAAGGGGAAAGCAUAGGAGUAAGAGGGGAGAAAUAUCUCUGCUGACACAUAGGGUUAGAGCACCAUGUGCUGUGCUAAGAGUACGUGAUGAUAAAAUUGAGCAGCGCCUUUUGUCACUCAGAAGUUUACUUUUUCAAAACCACCACCUUUUAAAGGUGGUUUAAUCUGUGGAAAUAAAAUGGUUUGCACUAUGCCUCUUGCUGUUCCUGGUUCCAUGGAUUGCAAGUGGGAGCUGGGACUAUGAAGGAAAAGAGAUCUGUUUGCAGGGGACAAGCACUGGAUGGGGUUCUAUUUUGACUUUGGGGCUUGACAUUUUUCUGUAACCUUUUCUUCUGUCUGAAGGAAUAGAUCAAAGUUCCGGGGAUUCUGUGCAGGCUGGAGUGAUUUUCAAGUGAGUAGAGUUUUUUGACCUUUUUCUUGGCCUUUACAGAAGGCCUUUACAAAAUUUUAGUACACUUUGAGGAAUAGAAAGUAUAGGCUUGCUGCUAGAUAGGGGUUGAAGCUCCAUCUUUUUUCUGUUUCUGAUGCUAUUUUAGUUCUCAGUUCUCAGCAUCUGGGAGAAUUUGUGCUUUAAAUUUUCCUUUAUUCACUGUUCAGUAGAGUGAAGAAUCUUUGGUCAUAGACAUUCCCAAGUUUAAAUGGCUUUUGUUUGGGACUUUGUUUCAGGAACUGUCCAUUGAUGUCCUUUCUGAUUCCUUUGUUAGUGCCAUGUGAUCAUAGCUUUACUCUUCAUUGCUUACUAGUGAUGGAUUGCCUGUUUUCAGAUAGCACUGCACCUCACAGUAGAGCUUUCUUGUGGAUCAGAACUUUUUUGUUUGUUUUCUCAGUAAAAACAAUGGAUUUUACUAUUGUCUGGUCUAAAGGCAAUUUAAAGACUCUCUUGGCUAUCUUUUCCUUAAAGUAUAUAAGGUUAUUGCUGGCUCUGGGUUUUGUAAUAAAACCACAUGGAUCUUUAGCAUAUCAGUUCAUGUCUCUGGAGAGUGGAGAAGACUUUACUUGACUGAUGCUGAUCUGCUGCUGUGUUUUAAUUGUGAAUGUUUCUAAGAGACUGGUAGGAUGUAAAUACUCUUUUGAGUCAACGAGGAGUCUGACAUUCGGAGCCCAAAAUGGUGCUGGAAGGAGCCAAAAGUGAUUGAAUGAGAGAUGCAUAAAGUCAUUGGGAAGUUUUAUCUUUUUUUUUCUCUAAGUAACAUAAACUCAGGUGCAUAGUACAGAAUUAUGGUUGCAGCAGACAGUCACUGCCGUUUGUGCUGUGCUGACCACCAGCUUUUCUAGUAGAACUCUUUUCUCAUUUUUGUGCUACUGUGUUAAGCAGUUUCCUGAUCCAGUGCAGUGCUGCAUCUUGGUUCACAAUAGGUAUUGUUUGGGUGGGGGUUGGCACAACUCUUUUGUGCUGUCAUUUGAUCUCUUGUUUGUCUUGAAUGAUCUAUUAAAAUGUAAUGCUUAAUCUCAUCCCUUUUUUGGCAGUUUUUCUUCUAGUAUUGUUGCAGUGGUAAUGAAACAGUGUAGCUGUAAUUGCAAGAAAUCAAUGGAGAAAAACAAUAUUUUGGGAUGUUUCUUUUGCGUCUUUGCCUAUAGAACACGGAGAAUGGCCACAUUGUAGGCAGGGUCAGUUGAACCUUCAGUCUGCCGUGCUGUGGCUGUUCAUGGGUUAACAGAUAACUUCCCCGGUUUUUCCCUUUUUCCUGGUUCCUUCUGUUUGUCAUUGUGAAAAAGGUUUGUAGAACCAGACAGAAGAGCUUUCUUCAAACAGGCAAAUGUGGUUCUGAGACCGUAGAACAUGGGUAGAGUAUUUACUACAGCUGACAUGUAUUUUUAAAGUUACUUUUCUUUCUUUGUCUGUCAGCUUUGAUACCAGUGGACUGUGGAAAAGCAUGUUUCCUCCCUGCCCCCUAUCCCAAAUUGUGCUAACUGCAAUUAGGAGACCUUAAUUAAAAUUCUUGAUUCGUAGCUUGGGCAAAGCAUUUGGAAGCAAAGUCAUUUAUUCUAAGGCUUACUACAGAUUUCUUCUUGGGCAAAGUUGUUUCCUGAUGUUUAAGGUCAAGAUCUCUCAAUCUGUUGUUCUGUAGACGAGUUAGAUGCGGGUCAAGUUCUUUGUACUAAUGCUUAUUCCUAAAAUAGUAAUCCUUGCAUAUGAAUUAGGCUGAGAUUCUCAAAAGCUCUUACUGUUAAGGUGCUGAGUUUUCUUGACCUUUGUGGGAGCUGAGCAUGUUUGCAGACCUUGGGCUAAUCCAGCUUCCUCUGAACCUGUUUGGAAUCUCUGUAGCUGGAUUCCUUGGGAACUGGAUAUACCUGGUGUUCAUAUUUAAUUAUGGUUUGUGUUUUGGUGUGUGGUUUGUGCUUUUUGUUUGUUUUGUUUUUGUAAUGGGAAGUCUGAGACACAGGGCUGGAAAUUGAACUUGUUCACAGUGGCACAAGUUCAGUGGCAAACCUGGGAUCAAUACAUAAGCCUCUUGCUGAUUUCUUCUUGCUUUGUUGCACCAUAACUACUGAGAGCAGGCACUUAAAAGAUGUAAUCGCUUGAUAACAACGAUUGAUGGCCAGGAAUCAAAAGCGUGGUAGGUAGUAAUUAAAACAUGCAACCGCGAUGCCGUUGAAAGUGCUCUGAACGCCUACUUGGCCCAGGAAAGUAUCCGGUAGCGUAAUUUGAAAUGUUUUUGUAGGACCAAGUGUAGUAUUUGAGUUUCCUGUUACUUGUUAGUGUUACUGCCACCUUUUCUUAUGUUGACUGCUAUGUGGGUGUGAAAGCUCCCUGCAAGAAUAGACUUUUAACACACUUGCUGCUGCUGGUAGUGAACGCUGAAACACAAAGUGUUUGUUUCUGGGAAAUGCACAUGGCUCAUGUAAAAUCUCCCUGUUCUCUCUCCUGUUAAAUGAAAGUAGAUCGCCAGUUGUUUGGGGCUGAUCCAGGUAGAAGGGAGCAGCCUAGCAGUGCUGCUAAUAUUACAGCAAAGGAAGGCUUGUGCUGGAGAAUGGUUUUGGUAGAUCUUUAAAACAGUGAUGUCUUUGUGGGGUUGUUUUCAGCAGCCACUUUGGCUUAGAGGGGAUAAUUAUUGUAGCCUUUCUAAGAAGACGGGUGAAGGUUCUCUUUCGGUAAAGCUUGACCUCCUUUUGAUGAAACUAUUAAAUGGUUAGCUUUUUUUCCCCAUUCUUUAUAUGUCUUUGAAUGUGAAAAUUCUUUCCCUGAGUUUUUUUUUUUUUCCUCUCCCCUCCAAUUAAAUUGUUUAUUCAAAAUAUCUGGUGUCGGUGUUGGAUGCCUACUCUAGCUCAGGAAACUGGAGGGCAUUCCUGCAAGGCCAAUCCCCAAAAAACUGCGAGGUGGCUCUUUCUUGCUGUGCUGUGCAUGUAUAGUUUGACUAUGAGGGCUUUUUGAGGCACACUGCCCAGACAACUUUGAAGUAUGAAUAAAGUCUCAGGUGUACAUAGAUGAGCUGCAAACAGUAGAAAUGUGUUUAAAUUUUGAUGUCUUCCAUGUAUUCACUGGGGUGGGGACUGCACAGGGAAUUUCCAAAUCAAGGAAUACUCUCCGAUCCAAGAGAGAAUAGGGAACAGUCUCUUAGGCAUUGACCUGGCAGACAGCAUAGGGUUGGCUUUUGGCUCUGUAGUAAGGUUCAUUGUAACUUAAGCAAAUCAGUCAGUUUCCCAAUAUGAUACUUUUUCCACUGGUCAAAUGCAAGAAUAAUACAAACCCAUUGUGAUGCUUUUGUGUAGCUGAACUGACUGCAAAUUUCUCAUAGGUGGUUGGAUGUCAGAGGAGAGCCAAAAUGUUUACUGCUUCAUAUUUGAUAUAUCUUGAUAUUUGUCACCAUCUUUUAACGGAUAUCUAUCUAUUCCAAGGCAUAGUUCAAAUUAAAAGGCCAGGUUUUAAAAAUUUCUCGGCUCCUCACUGGUGAUUUCUGUAAAGGAAAUAUAAUCGAACCCAGUUGUUGAGGACUCCAGCAUGUUUUAACAGUUUUACCUCUAUCUUCUUUUAUCUGUUAGACCCAUGCUUCUUGCAUGGGUGCCUGAGUUCCAAGAAGUCUCUUGUAACCCUGUAAAUGGAGCAAAUAGUUGCUGUUUCCCAAGUGUACACAAAACCUGAAGAAACACAGGAAAAUGAAAAAUCUGGAACCCACGUGUAAAUUUGAGCUUGAGCCUAAACCUACUGAGGCUAAUGGAAGGUUUUUGGUUUUUUUUAAUUGAUAAAACAGUUUCCCUAACACAAGAACUUUGGAAGGAAAAAACCUCUCAAAACGUAGAAGUCUUUAAUUCUUCUUAUAGCCAAUUAUCUAAGAAGGUGCUAUGUAACUUACGCAUCUAGUGAGCUAAAAGAAAAAGUUGCUUCUCAGAAAUUAUGUAUUUUCUUUCACAUCUGCAGGUUGUUUACUGGGACUGGCUCUUCAGGAAUUCUUCACUCCUUUGUGUUUAUUAUACACAACUUUACUUGUAACAAACAUCUGAAAGACUUGAAUGAUUGGCUGGCCGAGGGUUGCAUCAGAAGUGGGUAGCAGCUUGGUUUUGUCAUGCUUAUUUAAAAGUUAAAAGAUCAGGUGCACUCUGCAGCCUUUUUUCUAAAGGAAGCUGCUGUUCACCAUUGUACUAAGAAACUAUUUUUUCCCCUCUAAAUGAGACCCUGGAUCUCCUAGGAGAUUUGAAGACUGCAUAUUUAUUUUCUGAAAAAUAGAAUAAUUUGAGUCUUCUGGACUGAUGCUUGAGAAACAGCACAAUACCAUUUUCAAGUGGCUGGCAAGCAGUACAGGCAGCGUUGUGUCCUUCCUUUACAGGUGAGGAUUCAGCUGUGAACCACUGGCAGGAUCGCAUCCCAGCUGUCAAAGUGGAGGGGUGUAGUAUAAACACUCCCAAAUGAAAACAAGUCGGGGGGGUGGGUCACACAAUUAAUUUGGUUUAGAUGAAGCUUAGUAUUUGAAGGUGGGCUCUUUUGAUGUCAGUUGUCUCAUCUACGGGGUGGAAAACAGUAUGUCUGCAGAACACAGUGUGUUCAGUUCAUCUCUUUGUGUAUGUGAAUGUUUCAAGGAGUGGUCUCACAGGACUGGAAAAAUGCCCAAAAAAGAAUGAUGGCUUUUUAGACUACAGUGCCCUGUACCUCCUCUUGUGCUUGCUUUCCAAAUGGACAGCUGAGCCACAUCUAGGAAAGAAGACAAAUGUGAUCAGCGCUGGCUGCCUGCUGUGUGAUUCUCUGAGCAAGUGUGAGCACCCUCUUGAUCAGAGGCCAGGCUCAUGCUUCAUGUUUUUUGAACUGUUCUGCCGUGAAAAAGACUAAUUUCUUUUUACUAUGAUUUCCUGGAUUACCUGUGGACUAGUAAUGGCUUCUUUUCCUGAUGCAAUGCAUAUGGUUUCAGGAGAUCCUUAUUAUGGGUGCUCUGCUUUUUUGCUUAAGACUGACAAUGUCCCAUAGAUUUCCCAUGCUCAUGACCUGUUGGAGUUUGCCUUUCUGCUCUCUCUCUCUUGCCUCUCUAAGAUAUACUUUUCUGGUGGUGUUGGUGUGUGGAGUUUUGUUUUGGUUUUGUCUUCCCCCCCUCCACCCUGCAAUGGGCAGAAAUAUUAACAUGGUCUUUUCCUUUUGGCUUUGGAAAUCCUUUGGAAGGAUUUCUGUAUGGUCCCACUUGUGCUGAAGAAAUUAUGUUUAACAAAGCUCUGACUGCUUUGUCCAUUAGGCAGGUGUGUGGUGAGUGAUAAAGGGUGGUUGGAGUAGUUCCAAUACUGAAUGGAGUACUUGGUGAUGGUACUAGCCCAGGAUGGCUAAUCCAACUGUUGUCUUGAGCAUAAGCACAGAAGCCAUGGAAUUCAGGAUUGUUGUUGCUAUGCAGGUGCCAGUUUAUAGCAGACAACGUCCAAGAUGAUUGUCGACAUCCAAAAGCUCACUGUUGGUUGUCUUGGGUGUGACAGAUAUAACGGUCCCCAGCAGGUGCUUUUCUCCUUCCUCCCAGACCGCCCUGCUGUGGAGGGUACAAGGAGCAGGACCACAGCUGCCACCUUGUCUUGUAUCACUGGAGUGAACGUAGCUGGGACGGUUGCCGUACCCUCUCAGGCAAGGACUGAGAAGGCUGAGGACUCUCGAGCCCACUGUCUUUGGGUCCCAGAAUGAGAAAACACCAUGUUCAAGGUUUCUGAUAACAGCAAAUGAAGGCAGCGGGUACUGUGGGUUGAACCUGAAAGGGCUGAAGAGGCCUUCUUUGUGCACAAAAGGAGUGUAGGAUAGAUGGGUCUUCUUGAGUGAGAUGCAGAAGUGACCAGGGUAACUGUUGAGCCUGAGCCUGUGAGUUGCAGCCAGUGAAGGCCUCACUGUUCCAAGGAGUAUUUAAGUGAGAGGGUAAAGAGCAUCAGCUGAAAUACUGAGGGCCUGCAUGAGAGGCAGAGGUUAUAGUCCCAGCCUCCUGUCCCUGGGACCUGUUCUGACUGAGGUAUUGAUGGGACUCAGUAUGUCCUCAUCAGGUUAUCAGUUUUGAAACCUGUUUCACAUGAAGCCUCUACAUUGAUGAAAAAUUGAGUUCUAACUUUAGCUAUUUAAAAAUGCCUUUCUAUCUGGGCUUAUGGUACAAACUUCUGCUAUAAAGGAGAGCUGCCAGAGGAACAGCUUGACUACUUCAGAGCAGUGCUGGGUAGUUUCAAUUAUGUCACGGUGUCAGUUCUUGGAAAAUCUGCUAAGCUAGUUUUCAAGAACACCUUAGCAAUCUUCUCUGUGGCUUAAUUACUGAGAAGUAACUGUCAUCUGUUGUGUAUUUAUGUAAAAGGUAUAUAGCAAGUGGAGCAGUUGAUGGAUUGAAUACAACUGUUCAUAUGAUCCUAAUGUGUGAAUGUGGAGGAGUAGUUUCCCAAGUAAGGCUCAUUUCCAGGCAAGUCCAAUUAAUUUUUCUGUAACAAGUAUUAAUGACUUACAGUGAUUUUGCUUUUAGUGUCAUGGAAUCAACAACACAGAAGAUUUGUGUUACCCAAGGUAACAGUAUGGCACCGUAACGCCUUUGCUUGAGUGGAUAUUUUGAUCAGGACGCUGUGAUGAGAGUUGACAAAAAUCAGAGGAUUUAACAUUUCGUUCUGUCUCGUGAAAGUGGUUUGAGUAAAAGCUGUUUGGUUCCAGUGGGAUUUUACUUAGGAUGGAAGCCUGCAGUGUCAAUCUUGCAGCUCUCUGAUAUAACAGCAAACCUGCGCCUGACAUAUCAAGGGGAAACACCUUAUGAAGAAGAGCUCAGGCAGCUCUUCUGUAAAGCCCAGAAAGGAGGUAAGGAAAGAGUAGUGCUGGAUGAAGGGUCCACAGUGGCAAGUGUCAUCCGCUGCUGCUCUUGCCCAUGUACUCCUCGCACGUUCAUCUCCAGUGCAGGUGUUUGGUACUCGGCAGUGCGAGCAUGCCGUGCCUUCUUACGCUACUGGAAAGCUGUAAGACCUCUGGAGUUUGGCUUCGUGCCAUUGCAUUACAGCACAAGAACCGCAUGGCUGUAGGUGGAUAGAGACACUAGAUAAUGCAUCUUGAGCAAUCCUGGCACCAAGGCAGUGGUAAAAUAUGAGGAAGAAAUUGAAAGAAACGUGAUAUUUGAUAUGUUCUCUGUAGUUCUCUCUUGUCUGUGGGUGAAGGGAGGAAUUUAAUGGCAAGUUUAGCGUGCAGGUUGUCUUCAAAAGCACCUGUAAGCGGUUUGUUGUUAUGUAGGAUGCAAGACAGUGGGUUAGGGCCUCAGUUACCAUGAAUGUUUUACAGACAAAUAUUUGAAAAAGAGAUAUCUUCCUGCUUUUAAUAAUAUGAAAACUUUGUUUUGAAAUAAGGGCUUGUUCAUUCUUUCCCGGUUUGUAGCCGUAAAUGGCCAAAAAUGCGGUUUUAGAUUUUUUCUUUAGUUUCCUGAUUGUUUGUGAGUAGGCUCUUUUUUGUUCUUGGUGAUGUGAACAGAGAAGUUAUUCUUCAACUGGGAGAGUCUUCCUGAAAAAGUGUAGACACGACCUUACUAGGAUUUUUCUAAGGAGAACACCACAAUGUGAGAACAGUAGAACAAAAUAAUAAAGAAAUGGCCUGUUAUCUUUCCAGCAUCACUUCUGAGUGAAUAUCUUGAAGUAAGACACUGUACAAAAAGCUGUAAUCAGGGCACAUGGUUUAAAAGUGCCCUGGGAGAUGUAGCUGCUGUUGGAAACUCCAUCUGAAAUUAGUGAUGUAGGUGUUAGUCUGACCUAUAUGCAGGCCAGUGCUUUUUGCUAGUUCAAAAUAUUUGCACUUUACACUCAUCUUCUCUUCAAGCCAGGCCUUGAGAGAGGGUUCUGCUCCAAAAUGAAGGCUUGAUGCUGUUAGGCUGACACUGAUGGGCUGUUGGUUGGAUGUACUUUGAGGGGUCAGCAGCCUCACGGGUCUGAGAGCUGCUUGUGGUUGAGGUGAUGGUUUCUGGUGCCCUUGGAGUGGUGGUAUGGAGAUGUGCAGGCCACACUGGAGAAAGGCUUCUUCUACACGUUGUGGAUGGUGGUGCGAGAAUUUAGAUGGAGAGAAAAAAUAUAGUCUUAAAAAUUUAUUCUGGCUGUUGUUUUACUUUUCAUGGAAUCACAGAAUGGUUGGGGUUGUAAGUGACCUCUGGAGAUCGUCUAGUCCACCCUCCCUGCUAAAGCAGGUACACCUAGAGUAGAUUGCAAUCUGAAAACUAAUUAGAGAAUAUAAUUAGGGCUGAUGGCGGUGUUUCAUUGAGAUGUAGGGAAGUAGUCCAAAUAAGGUAAUGACAGUUUUUGGCCUCUUAGAGAGCAACUUGCUCAGCAUCUUGAUUAUCAUUUUAUAACCAUCACAGCUUCAUUGCUUCUGAGGACUGGGGAGAUUUUUGAAGAGGAAUCACUUUGCUGAAUUGGAAUAGCUUCUGCCCUUAAGGUGGUGCCUGUGUAUUUUGCAGUUUACUGUGGCACCUUGGACUGUGUGCUGACCCAGCAUGAAACCCUGCAUGUCCAAGUAGUCUGAGAACACCUGUCCAGCGCCAGGGCCAAGUCAGUGAGGCUGAGCGACCGUGGGUUACGUAAAGCUGGGUGUGGAGCAGCCGCCUCUGUGUGAAACACGGCUGAGUGCAGGAUCUGAUGUGCAGAGAGCUGUGAAAAUGUGCUGCUGGGGAAGAAGCCUUCUUGGGAUAACAAAUCCUGCUGUUACAGAUAGGUGUGCUGGUGGGGUUAAAAGCAGGCACUUGGACAAGCAUUUUCUUUUGCUUUCACAAACAAAAAUUCCUGGAAAUAUUCUGAGCAAAUGUUAUUUUUAUUUACUAAGAGAAUGAGCCAAAUGUGAAAGCCCAAGAGAGAGAAGAUGCGGAGCUAGCAGUGCACAUCCAAUGAUGGGCAAUGUGGAAAGCAACCUGAAACAGCAGAGGAGUCAUCAGCUUCUCCUUGCCUUGUGUUGUGUGGUCACCUAUAGGCUUGAAAUCCCAGCAUGAGGUAGAGCAUCAUCUCCACAGUUCUUAUCUCUUAUGGCUACAAACAAAAGAUGUGAGAAGAGAAAAUGAGUACGCUUGUCCAAGGGAGAUUUGUUCUGUGAUCAUGUGUAAUCAAACAUGUAAUCAACAUUUAAUCAAACAUUUAAUAAACCGCCUGCAUUUUUCCUUGUAAUUAGUUGCUGCCAAUUAUUGCGAUUGAAGAGUGAGUUUCAGGGCGGAGCUGGACAAAAAUAACCCAGAGGAAAACAACUCACUGCUGUUGUGCCUUUGUCUGCCUUCCCAGCUCCUGCUCAAAAGCUGGAUCAGCUGUUUAUACAUCCACCUUCCUUAGCAAUGAUAAGGACAAUGGUAAUUUGGUAGCUUUGAAUAGAAAUUUAGCUUUUAAUUUUUUCCUUUAAGAGGGAUUUAGGUUAUCUUAUAAACUCAGGAGCGUGUUGUGAUGGGGAGGGGCAGGUACCAGAUAAUGUAGGUAAGUCCAUAAAGGGAAAUAAAUGUACAAGAUGCAGCUGAAAUGUUGGCCUGAGGCUUUUUUCUGAGAGGGAGAGCAAAGGUAUGAGUAACAGAGCUCCGGCAUGAUGGUAUGAUUUAGCUUGUCGAGGCAGCUUCUAGAAAAUCUGAGGAGGCCCAAGAAAUUGUCUGGUUCUUCCAGUUACACGGUGUAGCAGACCUCCCAGCAGAUUCCAAUCUGUGCUGCAAUGGAGUCUGGUUAGAAAAUCUAACAGCAGUUUGAUGGUUGUCUAUCAGGUCCUGCGUGCCCUGGCUAAGUUUGGGAAAGUUGUGGUUUUAAAACACACGUGCUUGGUCACUGAUGGAAACGAUGGGUGUAACAGCUGCUGUCUACGAUAAGUUAUGGGGAAAAAACAAAAACAAACAAAACAAGGGCAGGAUUAAUUAGAGUGUUGUGUGUGUAUACCCCAGUGUGUCUGUGUGAGAGAGAUUAGUAGCAAGAUGUGCUUCUCUGAAGUGAUCUGGACACCAGGACAGAGAAUUUUCACCAGCUAGGGUGGAGAUUUUUUGGAGAUACUGCUUUGCCUUCGUCAGGUGCAGAAACUAUAAUGAGUACACUAUCGCUGUCUAAUUUCUGCUCCAGCUUCAAGUUUGUGCUUUUUGACCUUGGCUGAUCCUAUGCAUAAUAAUCCCAUGUCCAUCCCUGCCCAAAGCUUUGGGUGUAUUUCCAUGAAUCUUCAUGACCUGCGUUGCCAUGAUAUUAAAAGGCUGGCAGCAGUACCUUGUUCCAUGUGUUGGAUGUCCAGUUCCUCAAACUGCAGCCCCAUCCAAUGAGACCAAUGGAAAACUCUGUUCUCUUACCUGACCCUUUUGAUAAGGUUUUCGCCCAGGGUCUGUCGUCUAUGGUGUGUCUUCUUUUUUUUUUUUCUUUUUUGUCCUCCCCCCCAAAUGUUCGCAUCAGCUAUUAAUAUUAUUCUGUAUACUGUAGAAUAAAUAAUAUUUAUUACUUUGCUA